GACGAACGCUGGCGGCGUGCUUAACACAUGCAAGUCGAGCGAUGAAACACCUUCGGGUGUGAAUUAGCGGCGAACGGGUGAGGAACACGUGAAGAAUCUGCCUUCAACUCUGGGAUAACUCCGGGAAACCGGGGCUAAUACCGGAUAUGAGCCUUGAUCGCAUGAUCGGGGCUGGAAAGUUUUUCGGUUGAAGAUGACUUCGCGGCCUAUCAGCUUGUUGGUGAGGUAAUGGCUCACCAAGGCGACGGCGGGUAGCCGGCCUGAGAGGGCGACCGGCCACACUGGGACUGAGACACGGCCCAGACUCCUACGGGAGGCAGCAGUGGGGAAUAUUGGGCAAUGGAGGAAACUCUGACCCAGCGACGCCGCGUGAGGGAUGAAGGCCUUCGGGUUGUAAACCUCUUUCAGUAGGGAAGAAGCGAAAGUGACGGUACCUACAGAAGAAGCACCGGCUAACUAUGUGCCAGCAGCCGCGGUAAUACAUAGGGUGCAAGCGUUGUCCGGAAUUAUUGGGCGUAAAGAGCUCGUAGGUGGUUCGAUACGUCGGAUGUGAAAAUCAGGGGCUCAACCCCUGACCUGCAUCCGAUACGGUCGAGCUAGAGUUUGGUAGGGGAGACUGGAAUUCCUGGUGUAGCGGUGGAAUGCGCAGAUAUCAGGAGGAACACCGAUGGCGAAGGCAGGUCUCUGGGCCAAUACUGACACUGAGGAGCGAAAGCGUGGGGAGCGAACAGGAUUAGAUACCCCUGGUAGUCCACGCCGUAAACGGUGGGCGCUAGUUGUGCGAACCUUCCACGGUUUGUGCGACGCAGCUAACGCAUUAAGCGCCCCGCCUGGGGAGUACGAUCGCAAGAUUAAAACUCAAAGGAAUUGACGGGGCCCCGCACAAGCAGCGGAGCAUGCGGCUUAAUUCGACGCACGCGAGACCUUACCAAGGCUUGACAUAUA
RNAcentral lists this ribosomal RNA (945 nucleotides) under uncultured bacterium. RNAcentral describes it as "bacterial SSU rRNA". It matches the Rfam family "Bacterial small subunit ribosomal RNA", at positions 28 to 990 of the family's 1533-position model. The record is from RNAcentral.